Long non-coding RNA from Callithrix jacchus (white-tufted-ear marmoset), 2488 nucleotides. RefSeq lists it as uncharacterized. The record is from RefSeq and is a predicted model, not a curated record. NCBI's taxonomy places the organism in Eukaryota, Metazoa, Chordata, Mammalia, Primates, Cebidae.
GGUUACGGCUGUAGGCCAUAAUCACAGGCAAGCAACAAGGAGGCAACAUCUUUUGGGAGCUAAAUUUGCAAAAACCUGUAAAGUCAUGGUAACUGCAGCCCUGAAGACAAGGCCCAGCUAUUACCAAAGCAGAUUCAGAUAGAGCUGAUGGAGAAUAGCUGCUGCAAACCAACAGGCUUUGGAGAACUGUGCUUCCCUUCAGACAGCUCCUCUGUCUGCCUUUUUUGACUAACUAAAAAGUACUGCCACCUCUGACUCGGAUUCUAAAGUGGAUUUUCCCUACUCAUGCUUCCUAGAUUUGGUGAGGAUUUGGUUGAGUCAUGGGACAUUUGAGCUUGUCAAGGUAAGGCUUCAUUGUGGCUUCGUGUGGCCCUUCUGGGAUCACUGAUGUGCCUGGGCCAGGUUCAUUUGUAUUUGAAGGAUGGAGGAGUUGGUUUGGAGGCACAGUCUAAGAGGAGGGGAGAAGUAGAGGGUGAAGAGGAGGGCACACAGCAGGUCUCUUUAUGGCACCUUUUACAGAGUUGGCAUCUUGGCAAUUAGGGUAUUGGGGACCAAAAGCUGAUGCACCACUUUAACAAAAUAUUUUGUAAAUGUAGGUCAGGGUGGAAGUCAGAAACACAGGCAGGACUUACAAGAGGCUGUGGGCACUCUUCCUCUGAGGCUUAAGUGACAAGGUGGGAGACAGGACUGGGUGGAGGCCACAGUUCUUCCAUGUUGAAGAACUCUCUAGCAACCUGAAGACUGGCCACCUUGGGACCAACCCAGCGAUGCUGGGUGCUUUCUUGGUAGACUCCUUGGAGAGGCAGUGGUGAGGAGUCUUUGUGUUCUGUGGACAACUGGGGACUGGAACAUGGGAAGUUGGGUGGUUACAACUGUAAUUAAUAGACUGAUCUGUGGCCUACAUGACACCCACCUGAAAGAAUUCUUGCCCAGCUCUGUGAUUCCGUCCUCAGAUGUGGCACCCAGAAUGGCACCAAACACGCCUCCUGGUGAGUGAGGGGCCUCCUGGUUUGGAACACGAGUAAGCAGCUUCUCUGCUAUGUUUUCAGUAGCUUUCCUGAUAACACUCAGCAUUUGUUUAGCUUCUUUAACUUCAGCAUGUGUUUCCACCGUGUCCCCCAACAGAGAGGAUUGCUAUGUCAGUGGAGAAGUGGAGGGGCUGAAAAUGGACUCAGCUCUUGGUCCCUGUAGAGACUGUAAGACUCUGUGCACACCGUGACCAUCCAGGGCUUCUUCUGAGCCCUGUGCUGUUCAGAAUGAUUGCACAACCUACCACGCUUCGUUACUGCAAAGGGAACACCGGCUGGGAGUUGGCCAAGGCCCUGCUAAGACAAGGCCACUUGCACAGGAUUCUAAAUUCCUAAAAAAAAGUCCUUUCUUAUUGACUGAAAAACUGGUUCUGUUCUUCAUAUUUCUUACUUUCUGGAGCUGAAUUAUUAACAGGCAAAAAUUGGGUGGGGCUUCAUUGAUAUUCUCUCUAGCUUUUCCAAACCAAGAAUCAGAAAGUGUGCCUCGGUGAAUUGCCUUUUGUUAGCAGCGUGGAGAUGCAGGCAAAAAUGAGCAGUGUGGUUUGUGUUUGUAGCUGCCUCUCCCCUCUCUUCAGCGUCUCUCCUUCCCGGCUGCAAGGUACGUCUUUAAUGUGCCACACUGACAAGGCAUUUCAGUCAUGCAGCUAAUUAAAAUCAUUCUGAGGCUCAAUGUGACACGUCCUUCAGACUCAUAAAACCAGAAACCACUAACAAACGUUAUUCCUUUUCUGAUCUCUUUCUCUUUCUUUUAAACAUGUUGAUUUACUUUCAGUAUGCAUAACCAAAAAAGAAAAAACAAACCAAUAAAAAUACUGAUGAAAAUGCCUGGUGCCAUGGCUUGAAUGCGUUUUAGACUUUCCAAGCCAGCAAGACCACAGCCAGGAAAACAGAAAAGAGAAAAAUCACCCUUGCCUUUCAGGACAUGAGCAUAGGAGGAAAACGAAACAUCAGACGGGCGUAUCCUUUACGGACCAUGAGUCACUUCCGGGGGGCUGUCUCAAGGCAGCCCCAGUUACCUGGAGAAUACAAAAAAUGGCCUGGCCAAAGUUCAAACACCAGAGUGGCCAAACAAAGGGAUUCCCAGAGAAGAAGAGGGGUAGUCAAAGCUCUGACAGCUCCCAGCCCUGAUGAAAAAUGACUGUGGAGAAUUCCCAUUAAGGAUACUUGAAACCACAGUUCUUAUCUUUCCCUCCUUCCCCUUUUCUCAGCUGAGGACAUGCAGAAUAUCUUUUCCCUCCAGUCUUAUCCGUGUCCCAGAGACAGACUGUGUUCACUUAGGUCAAACCCAGUCAGGGUGGAGGGGUCAGGUUAGGCUCCCAGCUAAUGAAAAACCAGCAGCUUCAAAGUUGGCUGGUUUGCCAGUUCUCUCAAAAAGAUCCACACCCAGUAAAAAUCAUUCUUAAAUUCAUCCUACUGAUGGACGCACCUGAAUAUUUGAAAAAAAAUUUCAAAAAUAUUUG